This 257-nucleotide ribosomal RNA is filed under the name uncultured bacterium. RNAcentral describes it as "partial 16S ribosomal RNA". It matches the Rfam family "Bacterial small subunit ribosomal RNA", at positions 524 to 777 of the family's 1533-position model. The record is from RNAcentral.
UACAGAGGGUGCGAGCGUUUAAUCGGAAUUACUGGGCGUAAAGCGCGCGUAGGCGGCUUUGCAAGUCGGGUGUGAAAUCCCCAGGCUUAACCUGGGAACUGCAUUCGAGACUGCAUUGCUAGAGUAUGGGAGAGGGAAGUGGAAUUUCAGGUGUAGCGGUGAAAUGCGUAGAUAUCUGAAGGAACAUCAGUGGCGAAAGCGACUUCCUGGACCAAUACUGACGCUCAUGUGCGAAAAGCGUGGGGGAGCAAACAGGG